Molecule: ribosomal RNA, 464 nt
Filed under: Vreelandella stevensii
Lineage: Bacteria; Pseudomonadati; Pseudomonadota; Gammaproteobacteria; Oceanospirillales; Halomonadaceae
Description: partial 16S ribosomal RNA
Rfam family: Bacterial small subunit ribosomal RNA
Source: RNAcentral
CCUCGGGGGGCAGCAGUGGGGAAUAUUGGACAAUGGGCGAAAGCCUGAUCCAGCCAUGCCGCGUGUGUGAAGAAGGCCUUCGGGUUGUAAAGCACUUUCAGUGGGGAAGAAAGCCUUGGGGCUAAUACCCUCGAGGAAGGACAUCACCCACAGAAGAAGCACCGGCUAACUCCGUGCCAGCAGCCGCGGUAAUACGGAGGGUGUGAGCGUUAAUCGGAAUUACUGGGCGUAAAGCGCGCGUAGGCGGUCUGAUAAGCCGGUUGUGAAAGCCCCGGGCUCAACCUGGGAACGGCAUCCGGAACUGUCAGGCUAGAGUGCAGGAGAGGAAGGUAGAAUUCCCGGUGUAGCGGUGAAAUGCGUAGAGAUCGGGAGGAAUACCAGUGGCGAAGGCGGCCUUCUGGACUGACACUGACGCUGAGGUGCGAAAGCGUGGGUAGCAAACAGGAUUAGAUACCCUAGUAGUC